RNAcentral lists this ribosomal RNA (455 nucleotides) under uncultured bacterium. RNAcentral describes it as "bacterial SSU rRNA". It matches the Rfam family "Bacterial small subunit ribosomal RNA", at positions 28 to 507 of the family's 1533-position model. The record is from RNAcentral.
GAUGAACGCUGGCGGCGUGCCUAACACAUGCAAGUCGAGCGAUUCUCUUCGGAGAAGAGCGGCGGACGGGUGAGUAACGCGUGGGUAACCUGCCUCAUACAGGGGGAUAACAGUUAGAAAUGACUGCUAAUACCGCAUAAGCGCACAGUAUCGCAUGGUACCGUGUGAAAAGCCGAGACGGUAUGAGAUGGACCCGCGUCUGAUUAGCUAGUUGGUGGGGUAACGGCCCACCAAGGCGACGAUCAGUAGCCGACCUGAGAGGGUGACCGGCCACAUUGGGACUGAGACACGGCCCAGACUCCUACGGGAGGCAGCAGUGGGGGAUAUUGCACAAUGGAGGAAACUCUGAUGCAGCAACGCCGCGUGAGGGAAGAAGGUUUUCGGAUUGUAAACCUCUGUUUUUAGUGAAGAAACAAAUGACGGUAGCUAAAGAGGAAGCCACGGCUAACUACGUG